Molecule: transfer RNA, 76 nt
Filed under: Clostridium sp.
Lineage: Bacteria; Bacillati; Bacillota; Clostridia; Eubacteriales; Clostridiaceae
Also listed under: 5 other names
Description: tRNA-Arg
Rfam family: tRNA
About the family: Transfer RNA (tRNA) molecules are approximately 80 nucleotides in length. Their secondary structure includes four short double-helical elements and three loops (D, anti-codon, and T loops).
Source: RNAcentral
GCACUUGUAGUUCAGUGGAUAGAACGUUCGACUCCGACUCGAAAGGUCGCUGGUUCAACUCCAGCCAAGUGCGCCA